This 460-nucleotide ribosomal RNA is filed under the name uncultured bacterium. RNAcentral's name for it is "partial 16S ribosomal RNA". It matches the Rfam family "Bacterial small subunit ribosomal RNA", at positions 338 to 795 of the family's 1533-position model. The record is from RNAcentral.
CCUACGGGCGGCUGCAGUGAGGAAUAUUGGGCAAUGGGCUUACGCCUGAACCAGCCAAGUCGCGUGAGGGAAGACUGCCCUAUGGGUUGUAAACCUCUUUUGUCAGGGAGCAACGCCGGCUACGUGUAGCCGGACUGAGAGUACCUGAAGAAAAAGCAUCGGCUAACUCCGUGCCAGCACCCGCGGUCAUCCGGAGGAUGCGAGCUUUAUCCGGAUUUAGUGGGUUUAAAGGGUGCGUAGGCGGAAUGCCAAGUCAGCGGUAAAAUCGCGGGGCUCAACCUCGCUCCGCCGUUGAAACUGGCGUUCUUGAGUGGGCGAGAAGUAUGCGGAAUGCGUGGUGUAGCGGUGAAAUGCAUAGAUAUCACGCAGAACUCCGAUUGCGAAGGCAGCAUACCGGCGCCCAACUGACGCUGAAGCACGAAAGCGUGGGUAUCGAACAGGAUUAGAUACCCUUGUAGUC